GUGAAUCAUCAAAUUUUUGAACGCAAAUUGCACUCUCCGCGGAGAGUAUGCCCGUUUGAGGGUCAGCCUAUAAAAAAUCGACAUCGCUGCUGUUUCACGGUGGCGUUCGUCGGCAAUUGGGUCAUCGUAAAUCUUUUGGUUUUAAGCGACUUAAACUUUUCUUUUUGGUUCUAUGAACGUCUCUAAGAUUUAUUUCUGUACACGUUUAUGGUAUCGAUU
RNAcentral lists this unclassified non-coding RNA (219 nucleotides) under Glomus sp. RNAcentral's name for it is "partial contains 5.8S ribosomal RNA and internal transcribed spacer 2". The stretch from base 1 to 65 matches the Rfam family "5.8S ribosomal RNA", at positions 84 to 154 of the family's 154-position model. Lineage: Eukaryota; Fungi; Glomeromycota; Glomeromycetes; Glomerales; Glomeraceae. The record is from RNAcentral.